GUUUGGUGGGGAUAAAUUAAUUGGGGUAAUAUAUUAAUAAAAAAAUUUUUAGAGAAUAAAAUAUUUUAUGGGGGUUAAAGUAUUUUGUUGGAAAAAAAUUUUUUAGGUUUAUAGAGUAUUAUGUAUUGAGAAAGAAUUUUGAAAUAAUUGAAAUAUAUAAUUAUUUUAAAAGUAAAUUUUGUUUGUUGUAUCUUGUGUAUCAGAGUUUAUUAAUAAAGUUUUUUAGGGGGAAAUUUCUCGAAUUUAAAGGGGAGAAUUAAUUAAUAAAUUUAUUGUGGUAAAAAUAUUUUUAAUAAUUAAUUUGAAAUGAAAUGUUAAUCGUUUUUAAAUAUAUCUAGUUUUUUUAGAAAAAAAAUUUAAUUUUAAAAUUUUUAUAAAAAAUUAAAUUAAUUGUUAUUUAAAUUUUUUUUUUAAAAUUUUAUAUUUUAGGGGAUAAGCUUUAAAUUAAAUUAAUAUAAAUAGGAUUUUUAUUUUAAAAUUUUAUGAUUUAUAUUUUUAGUAAAUUUUAAUUUGUUAUAAAUAAUUUUAUUUAAAGUUAAAAUUUAAAAUUUUUUUAUUUUUUUAUAAAAAAGUAAAUUUUAAUUUGAAAGAUUUAAUUAUAAUGAUAAAAUUAGUAUAUAAUUUGAUUAGUAGGAUAUUUUAAUUUUAAAUUAAUUUAGAUUUGAGGAAUUCGGCAAAUUUUUAUAUUCACUUGUUUAUCAAAAACAUGUCUUUUUGGGAAUAAUUUAAAGUCUAAUCUGCCCACUGAUUUAUAAUUAAAGGGCUGCAGUAUUUUGACUGUACAAAGGUAGCAUAAUCAUUAGUCAUUUAAUUGGUGACUUGUAUGAAAGAUUGGAUGAAAUAUAGACUGUCUUGAGUUUAAAUAUAAAAUUUAAUUUUUAAAUUAAAAAGUUUAAAUGUUUUAAAAAGACGAGAAGACCCUAUAGAGUUUAAUAUAUUAUUUUAUUAAAGUUAUUUAUUAAUAAGUAAAAAUUUUAAUUUUAAUAAUAUAUUUGAUUGGGGUGAUUAAAAAAUAUGAAUAACUUUUUUUAUUUAUAGACAUGAAUUAAUGGUUGAGUGAUCCAAUAUUUAUUGAUUAUAAGAGAAAAUUACCUUAGGGAUAACAGCGUAAUUUUUUUUUUUAGUUCGUAUAAAAAAAAAGGUUUGCGACCUCGAUGUUGGAUUAAGAUAAAAUUUAAAUGUAGAAGUUUAAGCUUUUGAUCUGUUCGAUCAUUAAAAUCUUACAUGAUCUGAGUUCAAACCGGUGUAAGCCAGGUUGGUUUCUAUCUUUUAGUAGAUGAGAUAUUUUAGUACGAAAGGAAUAGAUAUUUAAAUUAUAUUUAUUAAAUUAAGAAUUUUAAUAAUUUUAUUUUUGUAUAUUUGAUGAGUUAUUUAUAGAAGGUAAUUUGAGAUA
Molecule: ribosomal RNA, 1393 nt
Filed under: Thaumetopoea pityocampa (pine processionary moth)
Lineage: Eukaryota; Metazoa; Arthropoda; Insecta; Lepidoptera; Notodontidae
Description: 16S ribosomal RNA
Source: RNAcentral